ACGGGAGGCAGCAGUGAGGAAUAUUGGUCAAUGGUCGGAAGACUGAACCAGCCAAGUAGCGUGCAGGAUGACGGCCCUAUGGGUUGUAAACUGCUUUUAUCGGGGAAUAAAGUCAGCCACGUGUGGUUGUUUGCAUGUACCCGAAGAAUAAGGACCGGCUAAUUCCGUGCCAGCAGCCGCGGUAAUACGGAAGGUCCAGGCGUUAUCCGGAUUUAUUGGGUUUAAAGGGAGCGUAGGCUGUAUGUUAAGCGUGUUGUGAAAUGUAGGAGCUCAACUUCUGCACUGCAGCGCGAACUGGCAGACUUGAGUGCGCGGGAAGUAGGCGGAAUUCGUCGUGUAGCGGUGAAAUGCUUAGAUAUGACGAAGAACUCCGAUUGCGAAGGCAGCUUACUGUAGCGCAACUGACGCUGAAGCUCGAAAGUGUGGGUAUCGAACAGGAUUAGAUACCCUGGUA
This 454-nucleotide ribosomal RNA is filed under the name uncultured Prevotella sp. RNAcentral describes it as "partial 16S ribosomal RNA". It matches the Rfam family "Bacterial small subunit ribosomal RNA", at positions 341 to 792 of the family's 1533-position model. The record is from RNAcentral. Lineage: Bacteria; Pseudomonadati; Bacteroidota; Bacteroidia; Bacteroidales; Prevotellaceae.